This is an RNA transcript of Homo sapiens (human), 3767 nucleotides long. It is a transcript of the gene named cyclin Y like 3 (pseudogene), with no coding region annotated. The transcript is spliced from 11 exons. The record is from RefSeq and is marked provisional. Lineage: Eukaryota; Metazoa; Chordata; Mammalia; Primates; Hominidae.
GGGCAACCUCCUUCAGUUGGUGGGAAGCGGUGGGAGGAGGAGGAGCUCCAUCUGUGCUCUCUUCUCCGCAGUCACAACUCUCAGGCUUGUUGCAUCUAGACCCAUUCUAAAUAAACCAAGCAGAUUCCCAAGGGACCCUUGCAGACAAGUCAGCUCAGGGGAGGCGGCUGAGGCGGGGUGCGGGCUGCUAGUGGGGUGCAGCCCCAUAGCCGGGGCUGGCCCUGCCAGCGUGCCUUUCCUGGGAAGAGGUGGAAGUGCUGAGCUCUGCAGACUUGGAAGCAAGGGAAGGCCCAAGCUGCUGGAGAGGAGCCGGGCUACCCCAUGGGGAUAGCCCACGCUGAGCUAUUGCUUGGGCACCAACGCCAGCCUCAAGCGGGGCCAGCGCAGGAGGUCUGGGGAGCUGUCCUGCAGCGCUGACAUCUAUGAGGCAGCGUCAAGCAAAGGUGUAGGCCAAGGCAGAGAGGAGCGGAGGCGCCGCAGAUGGAACAUGCUGCUCCCUGAUGCCAGCCCCAAGCAAAGCCAGCGCAGGGUGCUGUGGGCGGAACCGCCCUGCAGCUAUAACCUCACGGAGGCAGAGGUGGCAGUAAAAAAAAAAAAAAAUCCCCACACCCCACUGCUGUGGAGCCUGCCCAGUCGGAUUUCGGAGCCCGCGAGGGCCAUGACCUGCAACACAUCAGUGACCAGGAGAUGCCCAAAAGUAAGGAGGCGACUGAUAGUGUUUGCCCUCAGAUUUUGCUUCUGACUGUCCAGGGGAAAGCACACUCUUCCUGAGAAAAUAUCAAAUGAGUGUGCAAGAAAAGAGGAGCAGCUCUCACCUAUAUUAUAAACAACUGCUAGAUCUCCUCCCUACCCUGUCUUUCAUGUACUUGUGGGAGACCCUGAUGGAAGAGUGUGAUAACAUGAUGCAGACAAGCAUAUCCCAAUAGGAAGAAGGAAGGCUCAUAUACCUCCAUGGCAUCUUGAUAGAAAAUACGGCUCAUGUUCCACCAUAUUGCUAGAUAACAGCACAGCCAGCCAGCCUGACCUUAGACAUACAUUAGAAAGUGUGGCUUUGGCAAUAUAUUACAACAUAAAGCACAGAUAUGCAAAUAGAUCUCUGGCUAUUUUUGAAGAGCCAGUACAUCCACUUCCACAAGAGAAGCUUCCAGGGAAAUCCUUCAAGCAUGAUCCCAAACGCAACUGUAUUUUCAGACAUUUCUGUACUCUUUUUCAAGUCAUAAAACUAACAGCUCCAUGUGCAAUUGUAGCUUUGGUAUACAUCAAACGACUUCUAACUAGUGCUAACAUCGAUCUUUGUCCUACUAAUUGGAAGAAGAUUGUCCUUGGAACCAUGCUUCUUGCCUCCAAGGUUUGGAGAAAUCAUGGUCUGUGGAGUGUGGAUGACAGCCAGAAUUCCAAGGACACUGCAGUUGAGAACAUGAGCAAGAUGGAGAAGUGUUUCUUGGAGCUACUUGAGUUUAAUAUUCAUGUGUCUGCCAGUGUUUAUGCAAAAUAUUACUUUGACCUGUGUGCCUUGGCAAAUGACCAUGACCUGUAUUUUCUAUUUAGCUUUCUUCACAAAGAUAAAGCCCAGAAACUGGAGGCUAUGUCACGGCUGUGUGAAUACAAAGACUUGCAUCAAGAUGCCGCUGCUUUGAAAAGGGUUAUCAGCAUGAAUUUCAUUGGUAUUGGGUGCUCUAAUGCCAUCUUAUCUUAAAGAGAAAAAUUGGCCUUAUAAGACCCUGAACUUCUCAACUGUAAAGACUAGAAAAUAUCACUUCUGCUGAAAGAAACAACAAUAUUAGGAUUUUCUUUUUUUCUUCUUUGUUUUAUUUGUUAUUUUUUUGUUUGUUUGUUUGUUUAGGAUUUUCAUCAAGAGGAAGUAUCUUCAAGUUAGCCACAUUGUGGAACUGGGUGAUGGUGGGAUGAACAGUGGGUGCCAGGUGCUUCCUGCCCUUCCUCUUUCACUGGGUCCAGAUGGCAUUCCUAGGGCACCACCUUCUUGAACAACUCUUGGAGAGAAGGAGUGUCACAUGGACACAGCACAUCCCAGCUCAGAGUCCAGUCACCCAGUCUCAAGCAGGUGCCAGUGGUGUCCACAGUCACCCACAGUCCCUAGCAGGUGACAGUGGUCUGAGCUGAGCUGGAGCUAAAAAAACUUUAGAAUUGGCUCCAGAUUUGUGAGAGCACCUGGGUUUGGUUCUCUGUCCACUGAGGCACUGAAUGCAUGAUGGCCCAAAACUCAACAAUGUUGGGAAGAGAGAGUGGCAUUGGGGCAAGACUGUCGUUACUCCAAGCACCAGGGUGGCUCAGGUCUGCUCAUCUAGUCUUCGGAGGGAAUCUGUGCAUGUGAAAUGAGGCCCCCACGUCAUGGUUAUAAAGGAAGAGAUGAAAUCAGCUCAUCUUCUCCCAGGCUGAUAAUGGUCACUCCACCUAGGGAAGCAGUAAAAGACCUGGCCUUGGGAUUGUUAGGGGAGCUACAGAAGUGAAAACUGAAUUUACCCAGUUCCGGGAAAACAACAAAGGAGGAGCAUCUGGGUUCAAAACCUUAUCAGAAGAUCAUUUUCCCAGCUAAUCUUGCCCCGAUGCAUUGUAUGGUCUCAGCGCUUAUCAACAAAACAAAAGCCUGUCUAUAAUUCUAACACUGGGACACACCGCACCUCACAUUUUCCAGUGCACUGCAGUGGUUCAAGAGAUUGCUGGUGCUGCCUGCAUCUGUCUGUUUGCAUAUGGAGAGGAGCUGAGGUUCUCACGGGAGCGGCUUCUGCAUCCUGAGGAAGUUUACUCACGCAGUUCUGGUUGUAAUAACUGGUGGCAGCUACUGACAUGCAGUCAACAAUGGGACUCCUAUGGUGCACAGGACUGCCCCCCUUGUCAAUCAAGAAAUAAUUUUCUGGCUUCCAAAAUAGAAGGUGCUGAGGAGCAACUGCCUCAGAGUCUACAAGGGAACCACUUUCUGAGACUUUCUUUUCUCUUACAAGAACACCAGAUCCCCACCAAUGUGAGAUGUUAGAUCAAGUUUUUGUGCAAGGGUGGAUGUAGGGGGCAGAAUCCUAAGAUGCCCCAUGAUCUCUGCUGUCUUUUGUUACACCUGAAUCCUCAUCUUUUCUUGGGUAUGGCCAGACCUGUGCCUUGUUCUAGACAUUUGAAUAUGGCAAAGUGAGGGAGUGGCUCUCUGCGAGUUACCUUUCCUUUCCUUUUAUCGGGAACUAUAGGAAUCCCUAUUUUCUUUCUUGCGUUUACUUUCACAGUGCAGUGGUUUGGAAUAUCCCACCGUCAAUUUGCGAUUUCCUCCUCCAACCAUAAUCUAUGGCCCUUUAUAUGUAAUUGAAUGUUUUCAUGUAUUGAUAUUUUGUCUGAAGAUAAAAUAUUAGACUAAACAUGUUAAAACAUUUCAUGCAAAACCUUCAGUGGUUGUAAAGUCUACUCUGGUGAAUACACAAAUUUAUCUAUUUUAUAUAUUAAAAAUUAUAUUAGUUGUGAUAAUAUUUUCUUUUUUAUCUUCACUUGUUAGAUAUAGUUACUUAAGUUUUUCCAAAAUUAAUGAUAUUGUAUCUUAUAUUUGAUUUAAAAUACUACUAGGAUAUUUGGAUUGAUCGUUGAAAAUAAAUGGCAAAAUAAGAAUUGCUGAAACCUAGUGAUAAUGUACUUAGGAUGGGUUUAUUAUCUAUUAUCUGUAUCUUUGUUAAAUGUUUACAUUUCCAUGAAAACCUAUACCUAACAACUUAAAAUUUUGUGUAAAAUCCUUCGUGCCCUGCACUUAGGCUCCACUGCAUAAUGAAUAAAAG